CUCUCCCUCCACCUCACUCGAGAAGCAAGCGCAGAGGAGGAAGGGCCUGGGCCGGGCAGGAAUGUCUAAACAAACCGACGUGAACAUAAAAAACACCACUAAAGAAAACAGAGCCGUGGAAACGAAAACACACACUAACUAGUACGAGUAGACCUUGCCGACACUUUAAGGCCAGUACAGAACGACAGCACGCUAAAAGCUGCGUCUUCCACCGUGGACAUGACAUAUCGGAAGAACACCGUGGGAAGUGUGCGUGAUGAAUCAAAAAGAAACCGUGGUUAAAAAACACGAAAGCAACGAGCUGAUGAGAAAACACACUUCAGUGCGUCUUUAUUAUAACAGAGCACUGCAGCGACACUUCCACAGCGAAGCAAACACGCGCCUUCCUUAACCACUGCUGACUUUUCUCAGGCGCAAAAGAUAGACACUCAAGCGUUCACAGGUCCACGGGUUUCCUUUUACAGUAUUUUAUUUUGGUCCGCUUUCUCGUCGGAGCGGUUAGAUAACCAGCACUGGAAAAAAAAAAAAUAGGUUCAGGACCUUCAGAAGUCUGGACUUGUCCCGCUCCCUUCCGUACUAUUCAGAAAUUUCAACGACUUCUGCUGGAAAUGUUCUGUCGUAUAUAGUGCGCACAGAUGGCCAACUGCAAUCCGGCCUGUAGCACCACAAGCCAGCACACCCCCGAGACAACUCCCUCUGCCUGUCCCGGGGCUGCUCCGACACGCUGUGCAACAGGAGGCGGACCCUGCGCGGAGGUCUGGAGGGAGAUCAGGAGAGGAGGAAGGGAAAGAUGUCGGCAAAGCGUCAGACGACAUCACGGUCGAGGACGAGCUCCGGCUUCGAGGCCAAGGGGACGGUUAAGGUGGGGGAAGAGCAGCACAGUGCAGCAGACAGCAGACCUGCUCCCCCGCCGCCGUGAACAGCCCAGCGGCCCAGACACCCGCCCGCAGCCCGGGGGGGGGGCGGUCCCGUCAGACCCCGGGCUCGACCCGACCGAGACGCACUGCCUGGGCCCCCCUCCCCGCGCCUCCCAGAGCCCCGCAGAGCUCUCCCAGCUCCGCACGCUAGAGGCCCCCAGAGGGAUAAACCACUUUCCCCGGGACACCGGCUGCUGCGCUCAUCGCCUGGCGUCUGCUGCCACCUAGCGACACAACGCGGGGACUGCUGCUGGGUCGCCACACGGGGCCCGUGUCGGCAGCGCCGCCUACCGAAACAACACGCGAUGGGCGACGUCCCGGCUACGCCGUCUGCGAAUUUCGGGGUUUUUCUUUUCCAUUUCCGUGAAGCCAACGUAAUACCGGCGACAAAAUAAAGUUCUGUUUGCAACAAACGUGCAAAUUGUAUCCUUAAUACCCCGCUUCCGCUCCCCCCCAAAAUAAAACCACCUUAGAGCCCUGCUCAGCUGCCUCUCAGCUUCCAGUCCAGAGGUGAAACCCCCCUGAACCCCCAAAAGCACAUUCUGGGGACAGGGAGGAGCCUGACUGUUACCUGGAAGAAACUCUUACCUGCGUAUUGAAGAGACAGCCUGGUGCGUUACGAACAGUCAUCUAAAAAAAGUGCAAGUAAUAAGCUUUGGGUAAUCGAAUCGCUGAAGAGCCUACUGUGCCACAAGUCCAUUGCAUCACAACCGUAUGUGAAGGGUCAAGAGUCUGCUAAGAGGGAAAUCAGACCAGAAGUGAGAGCAGGAAUUGGCAAAACGCAAAAUGACAGCAUAAGGAAAAAAAUGUAGGCGAAGUCAGCGCUAGCAAAUUGAGAACUGCGGGCCGCAGCAUCGAGGUAAUCUUUCCGAAGACGCAGUGAAGACGGAUGGUCUUAACUCUAACAAGGAGCUUGCCGGUGAACUAAAUCAUUAUCAUCUUGGGUUCUGACAAGUGGAGGAGGAAUCUGCGACACAGCGCAGUUCAACUCGUUUCAAGAGAACACGCCAGGCAGGGCCGGGGACGCGACAUCAUCGGUGGGCAGGCACCGAGGUCAGGAGCCGCGCAGCUCCGUACCGGAGGUCACUGUAUUUGCAAAAUAUCGCUGAACCGCCAGAAAGGACCCAAAACUGCAUCUUUGCGUACUUAUAAAAAAAAAACAGCCAACACCAGUUUCAAAACAUAAUUCCCCCCAAGACUUUAAAUGAUUUCAGGACGGUGGCACUGACCCCUUUAGUUGUGAAAUCACUUGAGAAAAUCGAUAACAGGCAGCACCUAGUGGAUCCCACGCAGUUGGCCAACAGGGCUGAAAGAGGAGUCGAAGAUGCUUCCCUGACAUAACUGAAACUCAGGUGGGGAGCUGCGUCAGCAUGCGUAGGCUGCAAAGGAACAAGUAAUAGGCUUACUCCAAGCUGAGAGGAGAAGAAAGAAAACACAACGUUGUGCUUUUUCUGCUCCUUUCAGCGUGGAAUAAACCUAUUUCUUGUUCCAUUACUGAAACUCUUCUGUUCACAUCCAGAAGGUCCCAAGACACACGCCCAGCUUUUAUUUAGAUUUCUCCUCAGCCUUUAACACCAUUCGGCCACAUCUGUUAGUGGCGAGAUUACUCUCACAUUUUAAUCUGGACUUUAAUUCUAUAGGUUUGAUUUGAGACAUUUCGAGCAAUAAAUCACAGGGAGUGAGGGCAAAUGGUUUUUGCUCUGCCUAUCAGAGUCGCGCUGAUUUUCCUUCUUGUAUCAGGGCUGUGUGCUGUCCCCCAUCCUGUGCAUUCUGUUCACAGACAGCUGUAGAAGCCCUGGAGAGGACAGACAUACUGACGUCUGCUGAUGACUCUGCCAGUCAGUCGGCUCCAAGACUUGUGAAUUAUGAUGUUGAUCGGCCCUUCCUCCAGCUCCUUCCUCCCGCUCGAUGUUUCAGUUGUGAUAACCGAUCAUAGAAAGCAACCACUAGCUGCAAAACCAACAGUCACCGAGGAGCAAGAAACUGAAAUUGUCAAGUUACAAAUAUUUUCGUACUCUUGUUAAUAACCUUUGAGGAAAACAACGCCAUAUGUAAGAUUGCUCUUCCUGAGUACACCUUGCUCUUUUAAUGUGCGUCCUACUUUAUUCUAUAGAAGUUUAAUGGAAUCUGUCCUAACAUUCCCUGCGGUAGCUUGGUUUGGUACCUUUAAUACAGGCAAUAAAAACACACUGAGCAGGAAUGUGAAGGUAAUCAGCAAAAUUAUUGGUUCCCAUGAGCUACAGUUUUCGGAAAUCUGCAUCAAGCAAACAGCGCAGAAGGCCAAUAUCAUCAGUGACCACUGUCAGCGGAACAACAGCUGUUUCCCCUCCAGGGCUCCAACCCGCAGCCUUUAGAGUUCCACACCCAGAAGGAUCCAAAACUACUACUCCACCACACGAACCAUAACCCAAUAUCCAAGGGGUCACACACCACACGGAGAUCUCAUCGAAUAGAACAGCACAAUAACUUGUCUAUGCCCUUUAGCACCUAGUGUGAUGCAACAUGUAAAUGAAUUCCAGUGUGCAUACAGGACUCGCACCAAGGAAGAAUGUGCCGCUGGAAAUGAUUGACUAAACUGUUCAAAUGGGGACAGAGACCAGAGAAGAAACAGGUUUUCUAGUUGACUGACAGCCUCUUGCCUGUCCAAGGGAGAGCAGAGCUGUUCUCGGGAGACCCUGGGCCACAGGAAAUGCAGAUGGACAGGAAGGCCUCCACUUUUCAACUUGGAAACACGGCCACUAGAAUAUUCCCAUGAGCUGCCCUUUUACAGCCCGGCUCUUCAAGCAUGGCCCUGGUGUGAGCCUGUGUGUGUCUGCCCUCCAUCCAGGGAGUGUGAGUGUGUGUGUCUGUGUGUCUCCUGUCCCGUCCAGGGUGUGCGAGUGUGUGUGUCUGUGUGUCUCCUGUCCCGUCCAGGGUGUGCAAGUGUGUGUGUCUCCUGUCCCGUCCAGGGUGUGCGAGUGUGUGUGUCUGUGUCUCCUGUCCCAUCCAGGGUGUGUGAGUGUGUGUGUCUCCCGUAAUGGACUGGCGUCCCAUCCAGGGUGUGUGUGUGUCUCCCGUGAUGGACUGGCGUCCCGCCCAGGGUGUGUGAGUGUGUCCUGUGAUGGACUGGCGUCCUGUCCAGGGUGUGUGUGUGUGUGUGUGUGUGUGUGUGUGUGUGUGUGUGUCCUGUGAUGGUCCAGGGUGUGUGUCUGGCAGGACAAAGCAGGAGAGGGUCAGAGGUCAGCGCAGCGCACGAGACAGAAGCUUCUGGGGGAUCUAGCGAGAGAGAACUGAGGGGGGCGGGGAACGACACAGCCGAGCCCCAAGGUCAGAGACAGAAGAGGCUGCUGGGAAGGGAGGGAGUGACAGCACGUCGAUCCAGGACGGUCCCGCUGUCCAGCAGCAGGGCCAGAAGACCACUGCGUCGGGACAGCAUCGCGGGGGUCCGCGCUCCCA
Long non-coding RNA from Lepisosteus oculatus (spotted gar), 4352 nucleotides. The record is from Ensembl. NCBI's taxonomy places the organism in Eukaryota, Metazoa, Chordata, Actinopteri, Semionotiformes, Lepisosteidae.